GUCAGACCCACCAUGACUUUGACUGGUUGAAGUUAUAGAUAAAAGAUACAUGACUGAUGAUGUAAGCUGGGGACUUAGCUUAGUUGGUAGAGCGCCUGCUUUGCACGCAGGAGGUCAGGAGUUCGACUCUCCUAGUCUCCACCAGAACUUAAGAGAAGUUCGGAUUACAGAAAUUAGUAAAUAGAGAUUUCGGUCUUGGUUUAUUAACUUCUGUGAUUUAAGUAUCACGGUAUUAAGCAUGACCUGACGAAGGCGUGUUUAUUCAUUAACAGAUUGGCAAAAUUGAGUCUGAAAUAAAUUGUUCACUCAAGAGUUUAGAUUAAGCAAUUAAUCUAGAUGAAUUGAGAACUAGCAAAUUAACUGAAUCAAGCGUUUUGGUAUAUGAAUUUAGAUUGAAGCUGUACAGUGUUUAAGUACACAGACAACAGAUAGUAGCGAUGAAGAAUCGCACGGACAACACUCACUUGUAGGUGUUGACGACUGUUUGGGGUUGUAUAGUCAAGUAAUUAAGUGCGUGUGGUGGAUGCCUUGGCAGUCAGAGAACCCACCUACUUUAAGGUAGGUAUUGCAACAUGAAUACAUAGUGUUGCUAGGCGAACGAGGGGAACUGAAACAUCUAAGGCGAUGAAAGACGUGAUAGCCUGCGAAAAGCUCCGGGGAGGCGGCAAAUAUCCUUUGAUCCGGAGAUUUCUGAAUGGGGGUACC
This 705-nucleotide transfer RNA is filed under the name Acinetobacter baumannii. Its description in RNAcentral is "partial contains 16S ribosomal RNA, 16S-23S ribosomal RNA intergenic spacer, and 23S ribosomal RNA". The stretch from base 69 to 141 matches the Rfam family "tRNA". The record is from RNAcentral. Lineage: Bacteria; Pseudomonadati; Pseudomonadota; Gammaproteobacteria; Moraxellales; Moraxellaceae.